AUGGAUGAUAAUGCCAGCCCUGACGACCUCUUUGACGAUGAGUAUUACGUGUUUGCUUGUGAAGGCUCGGACGUUGAUGAUGCAGAACAUGACGAAGGAGACUUGAGUCAGGAUACCUCUAUGGACAUUGAUCCUCUUGAGUAUGUCUACUCGAACCUCUCAGAUAGCACACACAUCCUUAAGAACGCCAUGAACUACGAGCACUGCAAGGCCAAGAAGUUUGGGUCUGAAUCCCCUAGAUUCUGCUCUCGCAAUGGGCAGAUCGAGCUGAAGGAACCAGAGCCCAUCCCAGAGCUAAUGAGGAUUUGGUCUAGCUCGGAUGCAGACUCUAGGCAUUUUCAGGAGAACAUACGGUUCUUCAACGACCACUUCUCCUUCACAACCCUCGGCAUCAGCCUCAGUGAAAACUACUCAAACAUGAAAUCAGGGGUGUACAUGUUCCGGGCGCACAACACUAUCUACCACAACGUUCAUUCCUUCGGCCCAAGCUCCCGUCCAGAGCAUCUCCAGUUGUACUUCUACGACGAUGACCCUGAUCUAACCCAUUGCAAGGCUGCCAUCAAGCAAUUGGACCAGAAUGUCGUCAGGAAGUUAGUGGACAUACUCAGGGAAAAACCAUACUCCUAG
This 627-nucleotide ribosomal RNA is filed under the name Triticum aestivum (bread wheat). RNAcentral's name for it is "partial small subunit ribosomal RNA". Lineage: Eukaryota; Viridiplantae; Streptophyta; Magnoliopsida; Poales; Poaceae. The record is from RNAcentral.